Periconia digitata is the source of this 108-nucleotide non-coding RNA. The record is from the annotation of a GenBank genome assembly. Lineage: Eukaryota; Fungi; Ascomycota; Dothideomycetes; Pleosporales; Periconiaceae.
GGCUUAGUGGUCUAGUCGUAUGAUUGUCGCUUCGGGACGGGAAACUCCCUCCAGGAUUCAUUGAAUCUGAACUGUGACAGGCCCCGGGUUCAAAUCCCGGCUAAGCCC